CAAAGAGUAGUUUAAUUUAAAAUUAUAGCUUUGGGAGUUAUAGAUAGGAGUUAAUGUCUUCUCUCUUUGA
This 70-nucleotide transfer RNA is filed under the name Oedalechilus labiosus (hornlip mullet). RNAcentral describes it as "tRNA-Pro". It matches the Rfam family "tRNA". Rfam says of the family: Transfer RNA (tRNA) molecules are approximately 80 nucleotides in length. Their secondary structure includes four short double-helical elements and three loops (D, anti-codon, and T loops). Lineage: Eukaryota; Metazoa; Chordata; Actinopteri; Mugiliformes; Mugilidae. The record is from RNAcentral.